UACAGAGGUCUCAAGCGUUGUUCGGAUUCAUUGGGCGUAAAGGGUGCGUAGGUGGCGCCGUAAGUCGGGUGUGAAAUUUCGGAGCUUAACUCCGAAACUGCAUUCGAUACUGCGGUGCUUGAGGACUGGAGAGGAGACUGGAAUUCAUGGUGUAGCAGUGAAAUGCGUGGAGAUCAUGAGGAAGACCAGUGGCGAAGGCGGGUCUCUGGACAGUUCCUGACACUGAGGCACGAAGGCCAGGGGAGCAAACGGG
RNAcentral lists this ribosomal RNA (253 nucleotides) under uncultured bacterium. Its description in RNAcentral is "partial 16S ribosomal RNA". It matches the Rfam family "Bacterial small subunit ribosomal RNA", at positions 524 to 776 of the family's 1533-position model. The record is from RNAcentral.